This 460-nucleotide ribosomal RNA is filed under the name uncultured bacterium. RNAcentral's name for it is "partial 16S ribosomal RNA". It matches the Rfam family "Bacterial small subunit ribosomal RNA", at positions 338 to 795 of the family's 1533-position model. The record is from RNAcentral.
CCUACGGGAGGCAGCAGUGAGGAAUAUUGGUCAAUGGGCGCGAGCCUGAACCAGCCAAGUAGCGUGAAGGAUGACUGCCCUACGUGUUGUAAACUUCUUUUAUAAAGGAAUAAAGUGCGGCAUGUGUGCCUUUUUGUAUGUCCUUUAUGAAUAAGGAUCGGCUAACUCCGUGCCAGCAGCCGCGGUAAUACGGAGGAUCCGAGCGUUAUCCGGAUUUAUUGGGUUUAAAGGGAGCGUAGAUGGGUUGGUAAGUCAGUUGUGAAAGUUUGGGGCUCAACCGUAAAAUUGCAAUUGAUACUGGCAGUCUUGAGUACAGGUGAGGUAGGCGGAAUUCGUGGUGUAGCGGUGAAAUGCGUAGAUAUCACGAAGAACUCCGAUGGCGAAGGCAGCUUACUAAACUGCCACUGACAUUGAUGCUCGAAAGUGUGGGGAUCAAACAGGAUUAGAUACCCCGGUAGUC